GUGUCAGCCGCCGCGGUAAUACGUAGGUGGCAAGCGUUGUCCGGAUUUAUUGGGCGUAAAGCGCGCGCAGGUGGUUUCUUAAGUCUGAUGUGAAAGCCCACGGCUCAACCGUGGAGGGUCAUUGGAAACUGGGAGACUUGAGUGCAGAAGAGGAUAGUGGAAUUCCAAGUGUAGCGGUGAAAUGCGUAGAGAUUUGGAGGAACACCAGUGGCGAAGGCGACUGUCUGGUCUGUAACUGACACUGAGGCGCGAAAGCGUGGGGAGCAAACAGGAUUAGAUACCCCGGUAGGUCC
Molecule: ribosomal RNA, 293 nt
Filed under: uncultured prokaryote
Description: partial 16S ribosomal RNA
Rfam family: Bacterial small subunit ribosomal RNA
Source: RNAcentral